This 563-nucleotide long non-coding RNA is filed under the name Monodelphis domestica (gray short-tailed opossum). RNAcentral describes it as "lncRNA (ENSMODG00000038327.1)". Lineage: Eukaryota; Metazoa; Chordata; Mammalia; Didelphimorphia; Didelphidae. The record is from RNAcentral.
AGCCUUCCUAAGAAAGCAACAACUUGUUAUUGACACUAAGGCUGGCCACUUGGAAAUGAAUUACUCAACGCAUGUCAAGUUGAAGAUGGAUUAUGUUUCUUGGCCCCAGAGGGCAGAAUUAAGAACUAUAGAAUGAAAUUUGGCUCAAUGGCACCGGAAUUCAAAACAAACAACAAAAUAGAUUUGGAUCAAAAGGGGUAUGAGAGAAAGUCUAAUUAAAAAGAAAGACAAGGUAUGAUUCCAUUACAUGUGAAAGAUCUCAAAAGAAGAAUGGAAUAUGUUAGAAGAGUAUAUUCUCUUCCAAAGAAGAAGACUAUACAAGGAGAGGAGGGAAGAAAGUUUAGAUGACCUGGAAUUCAGGGGCAAUGCUCACCAGUACUGAUAGCAUCAACUCUGGAGCAGCCAUGGCUGAUAGCAAGUCCUACUUUGACAGCUGAGAGACACCAAGACAAACUGAACACACUAAGGAAAGACAGCUUAGCUUCAAGACUCUACAUAGAAACCAUCCUUUGGAAAUCCAGCAGAGUUAUGCCCAAAGAGAACCAUUUAAGAAUUGUUUGAAC